CAGUCGCCGCGGUAAUACGUAGGGGGCAAGCGUUAUCCGGAAUAACUGGGCGUAAAGGGUGCGCAGGUGGUUUAACAAGUUAGUGGUGAAAGGCAUAGGCUCAACCAAUGUAAGCCAUUAAAACUGUUUAACUUGAGUGCAGGAGAGGAAAGUGGAAUUCCUAGUGUAGCGGUGAAAUGCGUAGAUAUUAGGAGGAAUACCAGUGGCGAAGGCGACUUUCUGGACUGCAACUGACACUGAGGCACGAAAGCGUGGGGAGCUAACAGGAUUAGAUACCCCAGUAGUCCCUGUCUCUUAUACA
RNAcentral lists this ribosomal RNA (301 nucleotides) under uncultured bacterium. RNAcentral's name for it is "partial 16S ribosomal RNA". It matches the Rfam family "Bacterial small subunit ribosomal RNA", at positions 509 to 808 of the family's 1533-position model. The record is from RNAcentral.